ACGAACGCUGGCGGCGUGCUUAACACAUGCAAGUCGAACGGAAAGGCCCUGCUUUUGUGGGGUGCUCGAGUGGCGAACGGGUGAGUAACACGUGAGUAACCUGCCCUUGACUUUGGGAUAACUUCAGGAAACUGGGGCUAAUACCGGAUAGGAGCUCCUGCUGCAUGGUGGGGGUUGGAAAGUUUCGGCGGUUGGGGAUGGACUCUCGGCUUAUCAGCUUGUUGGUGGGGUAGUGGCUUACCAAGGCUUUGACGGGUAGCCGGCCUGAGAGGGUGACCGGCAACAUUGGGACUGAGAUACGGCCCAGACUCCUAAGGGAGGCAGCAGUGGGGAAUAUUGCACAAUGGGCGGAAGCCUGAUGCAGCAACGCCGCGUGCGGGAUGACGGCCUUCGGGUUGUAAACCGCUUUCGCCUGUGACGAAGCGUGAGUGACGGUAAUGGGUAAAGAAGCACCGGCUAACUACGUG
RNAcentral lists this ribosomal RNA (467 nucleotides) under uncultured bacterium. Its description in RNAcentral is "partial 16S ribosomal RNA". It matches the Rfam family "Bacterial small subunit ribosomal RNA", at positions 29 to 507 of the family's 1533-position model. The record is from RNAcentral.